RNAcentral lists this ribosomal RNA (292 nucleotides) under uncultured bacterium. Its description in RNAcentral is "partial 16S ribosomal RNA". It matches the Rfam family "Bacterial small subunit ribosomal RNA", at positions 505 to 796 of the family's 1533-position model. The record is from RNAcentral.
GUGUCAGCAGCCGCGGUAAUACGAAGGGGGCUAGCGUUGUUCGGAAUCACUGGGCGUAAAGCGUACGUAGGCGGAUGAAUAAGUCAGGGGUGAAAGCCUGGAGCUCAACUCCAGAACUGCCUUUGAUACUGUUUGUCUUGAGUCCGGGAGAGGUGAGUGGAACUGCUAGUGUAGAGGUGAAAUUCGUAGAUAUUAGCAAGAACACCAGUGGCGAAGGCGGCUCACUGGCCCGGUACUGACGCUGAGGUACGAAAGCGUGGGGAGCAAACAGGAUUAGAAACCCCUGUAGUCC